This 441-nucleotide ribosomal RNA is filed under the name Peptostreptococcus stomatis. Its description in RNAcentral is "bacterial SSU rRNA". It matches the Rfam family "Bacterial small subunit ribosomal RNA", at positions 39 to 447 of the family's 1533-position model. Lineage: Bacteria; Bacillati; Bacillota; Clostridia; Peptostreptococcales; Peptostreptococcaceae. The record is from RNAcentral.
GCGGCGUGCCUAACACAUGCAAGUCGAGCGAGGGUUUGCUCAGUAUUGAGUAUUCUAAAACUAGAAUGUUCAAUUCUGAGCAAAACCAAGCGGCGGACGGGUGAGUAACGCGUGGGUAACCUGCCCUAUACACAUGGAUAACAUACUGAAAAGUUUACUAAUACAUGAUAAUAUAUAUUUGUGGCAUCGCAGAUAUAUCAAAGUGUUAGCGGUAUAGGAUGGACCCGCGUCUGAUUAGCUAGUUGGUGAGAUAACUGCCCACCAAGGCGACGAUCAGUAGCCGACCUGAGAGGGUGAUCGGCCACAUUGGAACUGAGACACGGUCCAAACUCCUACGGGAGGCAGCAGUGGGGAAUAUUGCACAAUGGGCGAAAGCCUGAUGCAGCAACGCCGCGUGAACGAUGAAGGUCUUCGGAUCGUAAAGUUCUGUUGCAGGGGAAG